GAUGAACGCUGGCGGCGUGCCUAAUACAUGCAAGUCGAGCGAACAGACGAGGAGCUUGCUCCUCUGACGUUAGCGGCGGACGGUUGAGUAACACGUGGAUAACCUACCUAUAAGACUGGGAUAACUUCGGGAAACCGGAGCUAAUACCGGAUAAUAUAUUGAACCGCAUGGUUCAAUAGUGAAAGACGGUUUUGCUGUCACUUAUAGAUGGAUCCGCGCCGCAUUAGCUAGUUGGUAAGGUAACGGCUUACCAAGGCAACGAUGCGUAGCCGACCUGAGAGGGUGAUCGGCCACACUGGAACUGAGACACGGUCCAGACUCCUACGGGAGGCAGCAGUAGGGAAUCUUCCGCAAUGGGCGAAAGCUUGACGGAGCAACGCCGCGUGAGUGAUGAAGGUCUUCGGAUCGUAAAACUCUGUUAUUAGGGAAGAACAAAUGUGUAAGUAACUAUGCACGUCUUGACGGUACCUAAUCAGAAAGCCACGGCUAACUACGUG
RNAcentral lists this ribosomal RNA (497 nucleotides) under uncultured bacterium. RNAcentral's name for it is "partial 16S ribosomal RNA". It matches the Rfam family "Bacterial small subunit ribosomal RNA", at positions 28 to 507 of the family's 1533-position model. The record is from RNAcentral.